AUACGGAGGGUGCAAGCGUUAAUCGGAAUUACUGGGCGUAAAGCGUACGUAGGCGGUUCGUUAAGUUAGAUGUGAAAGCCCCGGGCUUAACCUGGUAACUGCAUUUAAAACUGGCGAACUAGAGUUGAGUAGGGGGGAGUGGAAUUUCAGGUGUAGCGGUGAAAUGCGUAGAGAUCUGAAGGAACACCAGUGGCGAAGGCGACUCCCUGGACUCGAACUGACGCUGAGGUACGAAAGCGUGGGUAGCAAACGGGAUUAGAAACCCUAGUAGUCC
This 274-nucleotide ribosomal RNA is filed under the name uncultured bacterium. RNAcentral describes it as "partial 16S ribosomal RNA". It matches the Rfam family "Bacterial small subunit ribosomal RNA", at positions 523 to 796 of the family's 1533-position model. The record is from RNAcentral.